Long non-coding RNA from Coturnix japonica (Japanese quail), 392 nucleotides. RefSeq lists it as uncharacterized. NCBI's taxonomy places the organism in Eukaryota, Metazoa, Chordata, Aves, Galliformes, Phasianidae. The record is from RefSeq and is a predicted model, not a curated record.
UAUCUAGGGAGCUGUGGGGCUGAGUGGGCGCAAGGAUGGUGAGGGCCCGGCGGGGGCGCAGCGGACGGCGCAGGGGGCGCUCCAGACGCCGAUACAGAGUGCCCCCCAGCCGCAGGAUCAGGAGGAAUCGUAGAUAUAACAACACGCCACUGUCCAGGAGAAAAGGGUAUCAACGUGUCUGUGUCACCUACUACUACUGGAAAAGGAGAUGAACGCUGCUGACUGCCUUUCUACCACCAUGCUCCGCUGGGAAAAACCAAGCCAGUCCUCACACCAUCAUAAGAACAGGACCCAUCGCAACACCAAGAUCAGCAUCAUCUGCAGCUCCUCACCUGUCCACUCAGCCUCAACAAAGACCACCUCCCAAUAAACUCCCUAAGAUGCAGAUAAAA